CAAUAAGCGGAGGAAAAGAAACCAACAGGGAUUGCCUUAGUAACGGCGAGUGAAGCGGCAAAAGCUCAAAUUUGAAAUCUGGCACCUUCGGUGUCCGAGUUGUAAUUUGAAGAAGGUAACUUUGGAGUUGGCUCUUGUCUAUGUUCCUUGGAACAGGACGUCACAGAGGGUGAGAAUCCCGUGCGAUGAGAUGCCCAAUUCUAUGUAAAGUGCUUUCGAAGAGUCGAGUUGUUUGGGAAUGCAGCUCUAAGUGGGUGGUAAAUUCCAUCUAAAGCUAAAUAUUGGCGAGAGACCGAUAGCGAACAAGUACAGUGAUGGAAAGAUGAAAAGAACUUUGAAAAGAGAGUGAAAAAGUACGUGAAAUUGUUGAAAGGGAAGGGCUUGAGAUCAGACUUGGUAUUUUGCGAUCCUUUCCUUCUUGGUUGGGUUCCUCGCAGCUUACUGGGCCAGCAUCGGUUUGGAUGGUAGGAUAAUGACUAAGGAAUGUGGCUCUACUUCGGUGGAGUGUUAUAGCC
Molecule: ribosomal RNA, 515 nt
Filed under: Debaryomyces hansenii
Lineage: Eukaryota; Fungi; Ascomycota; Pichiomycetes; Serinales; Debaryomycetaceae
Description: eukaryotic LSU rRNA
Rfam family: Eukaryotic large subunit ribosomal RNA
Source: RNAcentral